CGGCCGGGGUGGGAGCGAGGGAGGGAGCAGGCACCGGCGGGGCGGCCCCAGCUCUGGGCGCAGCCCGGCCCGGUCCGGCAGGUGCUGCCGUCCCGCCCCCGCCGCGCGCUCCAUUCCGCCUCCGUCUGCUCGGGCGGCACUGGUGGCUGCGCUCCUCGGAGCCGCCGGGAAGCCGCUCCGGUGCUGCUGCCGACCGCGAAGCCCCGGCAGGGGCGACUCGCCCCCUGCUCGGCUCCCUGCUCCGCGCAGCGCCAGCUUGCCUUUGCCGUUUGCCCCUCAAAACCAGCCCUCGUAAUUCUCCGUGUCCCUGUCACCUGCGUGUUUUGAACACCUUAUUUCAGAUGGAUUCAUUUCCAUUCGUUUCACGAAGUGACUCGGCUGUCGGUUACAGCAUCGGGAAUUAGCGGGGAGCAGAAGCCCCGGCGGGCAGCCAGACUGGGACGGUCUCGGCCGGUGCCGAGGAGCGGCCCAGCACAGCGCGAUGCCCCCUCGGCGCUGGGCGCUGCGGGCCGGAGCUGCGGGCUGCGGACCCUUUCGUCUCCCGAGCGGGCGAAGUGCCCUGACCGCCGGUACUGAACCGGGUGUGUUCGGUCUGCAGUGACAGCGUACAGUUCACCUUGGGUUUAAACAAAACGUUGCUUAAAUUAAAAAGCAAACGAGCAAAAAAGACACUUCAGAGCCCGCUUAGUCGUAGGAUUCGAUGCGUACCUGCUUAUGUGCUGUAAAGUGUUAACUGGAGUGAGCGUGACAUGGGCAGAUUGCUCUGAGCGCAUCGGAAGGAGUGGAAGGAGCGCCUUAUUUCAACGAAUGCCUGCGAUCUCGUUCCUUGCUGGUUGCCGGCAUUCGCUGUUUAACUCUGCUGGGACGGCUGCUCCUAGGUAAAAGCCUUCAGAUGGAAGUAAGCUUGCAGACUUCCCAGCAAUGGGCGCGCGGCGGGCAGCGGGCUCCGUGCGGGCGCUGCGGCGGGGCGGGGCAGCUGCAGCCUUCCUCGGGCCGGGCCGCGCCGCGCGGCUCCGCAGCAGCUGCUCGCGUGGGAGCGCGCGCGUCGGGUGGGCUUCUUCCUGCGCUUCCAAAGUAAUAGGCGAGAUGUCCGCCAUCUGCUCAGGGAUAUCCUGCGUGUACCGAAAUCGGACGCGUGACCGGCCGUCCGUAACAAGCAUCCCACAUUUUUCUACAUGGAUUUGGCUUGCCAAGACAUCUGCUUUUAUUAGCAGCAGUUGAUCUGCCCGUAACGAGGAAUCAAACGCCUACAAUUUCUUAAAGGAACAUUAGUAGGAGGUCCGUUCUUCAGUUUUAUAAACAUUUUUUCACCUCAGCAAGGCCCACAAGACCUGGGUGAAGGCCAGCGUAGACCAAAAACAAGUCGUCUGAUGCAUGUGCAGAACUUAAGGCCAAUAUAAAUGCAUCCAUGUAAUGUAUGUUUAUGAAAAAACCAGGGAGAAUGGUUUCAAAAAGACCACCGAGAAACAGAUCACACGUGAACAUUUCUUCUGUGUAUUUGAGAGAGUGUAAUUGCAGAGAUAUGUGGAUAAUUUUAUUUGUAGAUUGUUACUUACUUAACGACAGGAGAGAAAACGGCAUUUUGUUGCCACUCUCCACUCUGGCAGAAAUGUAAAGAAUAAACUGUUGUGGUAAAUAGAAACAUGCAUACUACUUAAAAAGAAACAAACAAGUUUUCCUAAGGGAAGCUGUUGUUGAAGCACAAAUUACUAGAACACAAGAAAUAUAUAUCUGCAUUUAUGAUUUAACUUUGUGGUAUAUCUCUGAAGAAAUGUUUAAUCAUUUUGCAAAUGCUGUAAGCUGAACUGAUGAAAUGUAUUAAAGCUACCGCUGUGAAUGCUCUGCUUCAUCAUAAGAUUUUAAUAAUGCAUAAGGUGAUGAAAUAUAUCUCAAAUAUAAGAAAAAAACCCUUCGCCCUGGUAGGUAGAAAAUGAAAGCAUCAGUUAAAGACCCAUAGUCGUUUUUAUGUGAGUCAUCCUGAAGUUCGUGACAGUAAGCACUGCUCUGUGUUAGCAAGGGUGGUAGAUUUGACUGUUUAUUAGAAUUAAUUCUGUAUUCCAACUUUCAAACAGAAAUGUCACGCUAAUGCCAGCAUUUAUUGGUAUCUGGCGGAGUUUGGAGACAGUGAGUUUUUGCUCUUUUAAAAUCAAACACUCUGUGAAGCAAUUCUUUCCCCAGAGUGGGAUUUGAUCUCAUUGUCACUUCUGGCGCACGCAAAGACACAUGUAACUGUUUUUUUCCAUGCGUCCAGGAGAAAGAAGCCCACAUGAAAAAAAAAAGAAAAAGCAAAAAACCUGACCAACAGUCUCUCCUCACAACCCCAGCUCCAAAAAAUAUGUUGUGCUACAGUUGUCCCUCAUUUGCCAAGUUCUCUGUUUUGUCCUUUAUUNAGACCUGCAUUCACUCUGCAUCAUGUAUUUUACACAUAGUUGUUAGGCAAGGAUGUAGUUUCACAAUACUCUGCCUUUAGGGGCAAAGCCAGAUUAAAGGAACCUGUGUUUUCCCCUAACAUGCUGCUGGCUGUUUGUUAUCCUGUACUACUGUUCACCACCACCCACACACAAUGGAUUAUGAAGCCAUGCUGACAUGAUCUGAAGUGAUCCACGUUAAAAAUAACUCUCCAGAAGGGUUAUUUUCAGUGAUCAGCCUUAAGCUGUGCUCCCACAAACAGUUGUUGUGGCACAACCGAAGGGGGGAAGCUGCAGCGGAAGAGCAGCACCACACAGCCGGAGGUGGGAGAGCAGCUGAAGCCAAUGUGGUGUGGUCAUGUGCCAGUAGUCCAGAGGUAGGAUGGGCCCUACUGUCAUUAACACCUUUGCAAAUAUGGUUUUGAUCUAAUCCUGCCAAAGGCAAUAGGCUUCUUGACACUGAUCAAGGGAACUGGAAAGGUGGUCUUUCCCUCACAUUGACUCACUAAAUUGCAAAGGUUGGUUGAUUGUUGACUUUUUUUUUGAUGGAGAAUGCUUUGCAGUAUAUUUCCUAAUUAAUAAUUCUAUAAUUAUCUUAUGUGAACCACACUUUUCCAUAUUUGUGACCUGGAUGUUUAAGCUGAUUGCAUAUUCUCAUGUAAAAUCAGAAAU
RNAcentral lists this long non-coding RNA (3080 nucleotides) under Pavo cristatus (Indian peafowl). RNAcentral's name for it is "lncRNA (ENSPSTG00000014790.1)". The record is from RNAcentral. Lineage: Eukaryota; Metazoa; Chordata; Aves; Galliformes; Phasianidae.